UACGGGGGGAGCAAGCGUUGUUCGGAUUUACUGGGCGUAAAGGGCGCGUAGGCGGUCAGUGCAAGUCAGUUGUGAAAUCUCCGGGCUUAACUCGGAACGGUCAACUGAUACUGCUCGACUAGAGUGCGGAAGGGGCAACUGGAAUUCUCGGUGUAGCGGUGAAAUGCGUAGAUAUCGAGAGGAACACCUGCGGCGAAGGCGGGUUGCUGGGCUGACACUGACGCUGAUGCGCGAAAGCCAGGGGAGCGAACGGG
RNAcentral lists this ribosomal RNA (254 nucleotides) under uncultured bacterium. RNAcentral's name for it is "partial 16S ribosomal RNA". It matches the Rfam family "Bacterial small subunit ribosomal RNA", at positions 524 to 776 of the family's 1533-position model. The record is from RNAcentral.